GGGGGUAUGGCUCAGUUGGUAGAGCGUCUCGUUCGCAACGAGAAGGCCGCGGGUUCGAAUCCCACUAUCUCCACCA
RNAcentral lists this transfer RNA (76 nucleotides) under Clostridia bacterium. Its description in RNAcentral is "tRNA-Ala". It matches the Rfam family "tRNA". From Rfam's summary of the family: Transfer RNA (tRNA) molecules are approximately 80 nucleotides in length. RNAcentral also lists the same sequence under 1 other name. Lineage: Bacteria; Bacillati; Bacillota; Clostridia. The record is from RNAcentral.